This 301-nucleotide ribosomal RNA is filed under the name uncultured bacterium. RNAcentral describes it as "partial 16S ribosomal RNA". It matches the Rfam family "Bacterial small subunit ribosomal RNA", at positions 509 to 809 of the family's 1533-position model. The record is from RNAcentral.
CAGUCGCCGCGGUAAUACGUAGGGUGCGAGCGUUAAUCGGAAUUACUGGGCGUAAAGCGUGCGCAGGCGGUUCGUUAAGACAGAUGUGAAAUCCCCGGGCUUAACCUGGGAACUGCAUUUGUGACUGGCGAUCUAGAGUAUGGCAGAGGGGGGUAGAAUUCCACGUGUAGCAGUGAAAUGCGUAGAGAUGUGGAGGAAUACCGAUGGCGAAGGCAGCCCCCUGGGCCAAUACUGACGCUCAUGCACGAAAGCGUGGGGAGCAAACAGGAUUAGAUACCCCGGUAGUCCCUGUCUCUUAUAA